RNAcentral lists this ribosomal RNA (895 nucleotides) under Bacillus cereus. Its description in RNAcentral is "bacterial SSU rRNA". It matches the Rfam family "Bacterial small subunit ribosomal RNA", at positions 37 to 901 of the family's 1533-position model. The record is from RNAcentral. Lineage: Bacteria; Bacillati; Bacillota; Bacilli; Caryophanales; Bacillaceae.
AGGAUAGGUCCAAUUAAGAACUUGCAGUCGUAUUACUGUAAGUCCGUAAUGGUCUUAUGGUAAGUUAGCGGCGGACGGUUGAGUGAACACGUGGGUAACCUGCCCAUAAGACUGGGAUAACUCCGGGAAAGCGGGGCUAAUACCGGAUAACAUUUUGAACCGCAUGGUUCGAAAUUGAAAGGCGGCUUCGGCUGUCACUUAUGGAUGGACCCGCGUCGCAUUAGCUAGUUGUUGAGGUAACGGCUCACGAAGGCAGCGAUGCGUAGCCGACCUGAGAGGGUGAUCGGCUGCACUGUUACUGAGAUACGGCCCUUACUCCUACGGGAGGCAGCAGUAGGGAAUCUUCUGCACUGGACGAAAGUGUGACGGAGCAACGCCGCGUGAGUUAUGAAGGGUUUCGGGUCGUAAAACUCUGUUGUUAGGGAAGAACAUGUGCUAGUUGAAUAGGCUGGCACCUUGACGAGUACCUAACCAGAUAGUCAGGGCUAACUACGUGCCAGCAGCCGCGGUAAUACGUUAGGUGGCGUGCGUUAAUCCUGAAUUAUUGGGUGUAAAGGGCGGGCAGGUGGUUUCUUAAUUGCUGAUGUGUAAGCCCAUGGCUCAAGCGUGGAGGGUCAUUGGAAAUUGGGAGACUUUCUUGCAGAAGAGGAGAGUGGACUUCCUUGAUUUAGCGGUGAAAUUCGUAGAGAUAUGGUGGAAUACCAGGUUUCGAAGGCGACUUUCUGGUCUGUAAUUGACACUGAGGCGCGAAAGCGUGGGGAGCAAACAGGAUUAGAUACCCUGGUAGUCCACGCCGUAACGAUGAGUGCUAAGUGUUAGAGGGUUCCCGCCCUUUAGUGCUGAAGUUAACGCAUUAAGCACUCCGCCUGGGGAGUACGGCCGCAAGGCUGAAACU